Molecule: ribosomal RNA, 424 nt
Filed under: Fusobacteriota bacterium
Lineage: Bacteria; Fusobacteriati; Fusobacteriota
Description: Fusobacteria bacterium partial 16S ribosomal RNA
Rfam family: Bacterial small subunit ribosomal RNA
Source: RNAcentral
UGAGGAAUAUUGGUCAAUGGUCGAGAGACUGAACCAGCCAAGUCGCGUGAAGGAUGACUGCUCUAUGGGUUGUAAACUUCUUUUACAAGGGAAUAAAAUGAGAUACGUGUAUUUUAUUGCAUGUACUUUGUGAAUACGCAUCGGCUCACUCCGUGCCAGCAGCCGCGGUAAUACGGAGGAUGCGAGCGUUAUCCGGAUUUAUUGGGUUUAAAGGGUGCGUAGGUGGGCUGUUAAGUCAGCGGUGAAAGUUUGUCGAUUAACGGUAAAAUUGGCGUUGAAACUGGUAGUCUUGGGUAUAGAUGAAGUAGGCGGAAAGCGUGGUGUAGCGGUGGAAUGCAUAGGGAUCACGCAGAACUCCGAUUGCGAAGGCAGCUUACUAAGGUAUAACUGACACUGAAGCACGAAAGCGUGGGUAUCAAACAGG